Monodelphis domestica (gray short-tailed opossum) is the source of this 2337-nucleotide long non-coding RNA. RefSeq lists it as uncharacterized. NCBI's taxonomy places the organism in Eukaryota, Metazoa, Chordata, Mammalia, Didelphimorphia, Didelphidae. The record is from RefSeq and is a predicted model, not a curated record.
UGAGGCCAAGAUUUGAAAACAGGUCCCCCUGACUCCCAGCAUGAGGCUCUAUCCACAGAGCCAUCUAGCUCUCUUUUAAACAUCCAGAAUAAAAGGACAUUUUCCUAUAAAAUAAUAAAAGGAGAUUUAGGGUUAGGAGGAGGGAGUUCCAAGAGUUGCAGGUGCUAAAAGUCAAAGGAUCUAUUAAAAGCUGGUUUCCCCUCAUAUCUACGACUUUAGGGAAAUUUCCUGUCUAUCAUUCCAAAGUUUACAUUCUUUCUAGAACUCUUUCCAUUUCAAUAAUCUCUCAAAAACAAUAAUUUAAAAAGGCCUCCUUCUGCAGUUUAUGUUCUUAUUAGAGGGAUCAUAGGUAUCUCAACAAAAAAGGAGCCAUCCUUUCCUGCUAUAGGGUCAUAAAGCUGUCCCUCAGCAAACUAUCCAAGACUGGGAACAGGUGUGGGAUUACAGAGGGAAAAAGAUUCUUUGGUUUCCUUGAUUAAGAUUUUAAGUCCCUGAAUAACUUUGAAGAGGAUGCUUCAUCCAAUUUCCAUAAAAGAAAGGGGUAUAUCCUUAUUAGAUUGCCAAAAUGCAUUGCCGUCUUUUCUGGGUAAUGCUUGACUCAAGCCAAGUCCCUGGUAGUUUAUUUUAAUAAUGGAAAAAUGCAAAAAUAAAUCAAUCAGCAAUUAACAGAAAGAGAACUGUUUAGCCAUAGUAGAAGAAUACAUAACAAGAAUGACAUUGAAAAUCCCUUGAGUUGAUUCAUCUGAGCAAAGCUUCCUUGCCUGAAUUGCCCAUCAAAAGUUUUCCAUCUGCCAAGCAACAAAGAACACCUGAGGCAAGCUUCUCAUGGUUAUUUUAUACUCAGGCAGCCAGGAAAUAAAAUGAAAAUAUUAAUUCUUUGGUCCUCUGAGCCAACCAAGUCUCUUUAAGGAUAGUUGCAAUACUUCUUAGGAAAAACUAGCCUAACUUCCAUGAAGUCAGAGUUUAAGAUAUUCCUUCUACCACACCAUCCAAUGGGGCUGCUAGAAAGUGGGAAAUUUUGGUUGGUGAGCCUGGAACAAGCAAAUCUCUGGUGUCAAUGUGGGCCUCAGGAUAGGUUGCAUGCAAGUGACCUAUAUAACUCUUAGCUAUUUUGAUUCAGUUAAUACAGACCUACACUGGGUUAUCUCAGCUUCAGAGAGGUGAUUCAUAUUUUUAGUGGCUCUAAGAGAUGAAUGCUGGGAGAUAAGAUGGUAAAGUAAAAUACUACCAGAGCUUGCCAAAACCCUACACACUCACACUCUCACACACACACAUGUGAAUUUUAAAAUCUCCAUCUUGCUUUGUCUAGCACUCAAAAUUGUGCACACCCACAUGACAUGGGCAUGUGCUAGUCAAUGACAAAUCAGAAAUAACUGCCCACCUGGGCUGUCCUAAGCCAAGCUGGAGUCACCAUUGGCACUUGUGAGGCACAGGAAGUGAGGUAGGGAACAGCCUCGGGAAUUCACUCACUUCCUGUGGACAGAGCUAGGUGGCAGUUCGUGCUAGGAGCUUGAGCAGGGAGGAGGCCCACAGACAGCUUUCCUUCAGAUUGGUCACUAUAAAGACCUUCCUUCAGACUUGAUUGGCUUUGGGAAACCAGGGGAAUGAUGGCUACGACUGUUCUCAGUCCGGGCUCCCAGAUACUCGGCUACUGGACCUAAAUGAAACUUUUGCUCCGUGAAUCAGCUCAGGAGUGGUCCUUUGCAGUUCUGGUGCAAGCAGCAGGAAAGGCCACAGAAGCCGGGGUGCUGGGAGACAAAGCCCGUGGGGUAGAUGGAGAAGGUAUCUUGGCUACUUGUAUUUUGUAAAUUGGAGUGGGGGGAAGGUGAUUAUAUGGAACCAGGAGAUGAUUAUCUAUCAAAUCUUGUCUACCAGAUGAGAUAAUGUUUGUGGUGCUUAGUACCAUGCCGGGCACAUUGUAGGAGCUGUUUAAAGGAUUAUUCCCUUCCCUUCCCCUUUGGGCUAAGAACUUGGUGGUAUUCUGCUAUAUAGCAACUGAGUGAAGCUGUACAUUUCAUCUCCUGCUAUUCUCCAGAGACUGAAUGGAUGCAGGGGGAAUAAGCCUCACUGGUAUUAGGGGAUGGUGCAUGUUCAUGUGUUUUUUUCUUGAUAUACCUUUGAAGGAAAUAUUCCUUUGUAAAAGCUAAGCCAAUCAAAUAGAGCUCUGGUUCUGGGAACACCUAAAAUGGGGAGAACACAAUUGGUGGGCGCUUGAGCCAAUGGCAGAGACUAGAGCACCCCAAGCGAGAAGGGUGCUAGAGAACCCUACCGUGAAAUGUAACAUCUCUUAGGGAAAUAGCACAAGCGUUUACUAUUAUCCUGCAAUCACAGCAGCAA